Molecule: ribosomal RNA, 500 nt
Filed under: uncultured Glomeromycotina
Lineage: Eukaryota; Fungi; Glomeromycota
Description: partial small subunit ribosomal RNA
Rfam family: Eukaryotic small subunit ribosomal RNA
Source: RNAcentral
CCAAUAGCGUAUAUUAAAGUUGUUGCAGUUAAAAAGCUCGUAGUUGAAUUUCGGGGUCAGCAGGUUGGUCGUGCCUAUGGUAUGUACUGGCUUUACUGAUUCCUCCUUCUUGAAGAACUGUAAUGUCAUUAAUUUGGUGUUGCAGGGAAACAGGACUGUUACUUUGAAAAAAUUAGAGUGUUUAAAGCAGGCUAACGCUUGAACACAUUAGCAUGGAAUAAUGAAAUAGGACGUUUGAUCCUAUUUUGUUGGUUUCUAGGAUUGACGUAAUGAUUAAUAGGGAUAGUUGGGGGCAUUAGUAUUCAAUUGUCAGAGGUGAAAUUCUUGGAUUUAUUGAAGACUAACUACUGCGAAAGCAUUUGCCAAGGAUGUUUUCAUUAAUCAAGAACGAAAGUUAGGGGAUCGAAGACGAUCAGAUACCGUCGUAGUCUUAACCAUAAACUAUGCCGACUAGGGAUCGGAUGAUGUUAAUUUUUUAAUGACUCAUUCGGCGCCUUGCG